AACGAACGCUGGCGGCAUGCCUAACACAUGCAAGUCGAACGAGACCUUCGGGUAUUUUUGCGCACGGGUUCGUAAGGCGUGGGGACCUUCCCUUGGGUUCGGUAUAACUCCCCGCAGGGGGUGCUAAUACCGGAUAAUGUCUUAGGACCAACGAUCUAUUGCCUUAGGAUGGGCCCGCGUUGGAUUAGCUAGUUGGUAGGGUAAAAGCCUACCAAGGCGACGAUGCAUAGCUGGUGUGGGAGGAUGACCAGUCACACUGGGACUGAGACACGGACCAGACCCCUACGAGAGGCAGCAGUGGGGAAUAGUGGACGAUGGGCGAGAGCCUGAUCCAGCCGUGUCGUGUGAGUGAUGAAGGCCUUAGGAUUGUAAAGCUGUUUUACACGGGAUGAUAGUGACAGUAACGGGAGAAUAAGCUCCGGCUAACUACGUG
RNAcentral lists this ribosomal RNA (433 nucleotides) under uncultured bacterium. RNAcentral describes it as "partial 16S ribosomal RNA". It matches the Rfam family "Bacterial small subunit ribosomal RNA", at positions 29 to 507 of the family's 1533-position model. The record is from RNAcentral.